RNAcentral lists this ribosomal RNA (1355 nucleotides) under uncultured bacterium. RNAcentral's name for it is "bacterial SSU rRNA". It matches the Rfam family "Bacterial small subunit ribosomal RNA", at positions 28 to 1381 of the family's 1533-position model. The record is from RNAcentral.
AUUGAACGCUGGCGGCAGGCUUAACACAUGCAAGUCGAACGAUGAUUAUCUAGCUUGCUAGAUAUGAUUAGUGGCGGACGGGUGAGUAACAUUUAGGAAUCUGCCUAGUAGUGGGGGAUAGCUCGGGGAAACUCGAAUUAAUACCGCAUACGACCUACGGGUGAAAGGGGGCGCAAGCUCUUGCUAUUAGAUGAGCCUAAAUCAGAUUAGCUAGUUGGUGGGGUAAAGGCCCACCAAGGCGACGAUCUGUAACUGGUCUGAGAGGAUGAUCAGUCACACCGGAACUGAGACACGGUCCGGACUCCUACGGGAGGCAGCAGUGGGGAAUAUUGGACAAUGGGGGCAACCCUGAUCCAGCCAUGCCGCGUGUGUGAAGAAGGCCUUUUGGUUGUAAAGCACUUUAAGCAGGGAGGAGAGGCUAAUGGUUAAUACCCAUUAGAUUAGACGUUACCUGCAGAAUAAGCACCGGCUAACUCUGUGCCAGCAGCCGCGGUAAUACAGAGGGUGCGAGCGUUAAUCGGAAUUACUGGGCGUAAAGCGAGUGUAGGUGGCUCAUUAAGUCACAUGUGAAAUCCCCGGGCUUAACCUGGGAACUGCAUGUGAUACUGGUGGUGCUAGAAUAUGUGAGAGGGAAGUAGAAUUCCAGGUGUAGCGGUGAAAUGCGUAGAGAUCUGGAGGAAUACCGAUGGCGAAGGCAGCUUCCUGGCAUAAUAUUGACACUGAGAUUCGAAAGCGUGGGUAGCAAACAGGAUUAGAUACCCUGGUAGUCCACGCCGUAAACGAUGUCUACUAGCCGUUGGGGUCCUUGAGACUUUAGUGGCGCAGUUAACGCGAUAAGUAGACCGCCUGGGGAGUACGGCCGCAAGGUUAAAACUCAAAUGAAUUGACGGGGGCCCGCACAAGCGGUGGAGCAUGUGGUUUAAUUCGAUGCAACGCGAAGAACCUUACCUGGUCUUGACAUAGUGAGAAUCCUGCAGAGAUGCGGGAGUGCCUUCGGGAAUUCACAUACAGGUGCUGCAUGGCUGUCGUCAGCUCGUGUCGUGAGACGUUGGGUUAAGUCCCGCAACGAGCGCAACCCUUUUCCUUAUUUGCCAGCGGGUUAAGCCGGGAACUUUAAGGAUACUGCCAGUGACAAACUGGAGGAAGGCGGGGACGACGUCAAGUCAUCAUGGCCCUUACGACCAGGGCUACACACGUGCUACAAUGGUAGGUACAGAGGGUUGCUACACAGCGAUGUGAUGCUAAUCUCAAAAAGCCUAUCGUAGUCCGGAUUGGAGUCUGCAACUCGACUCCAUGAAGUCGGAAUCGCUAGUAAUCGCAGAUCAGAAUGCUGCGGUGAAUACGUUCCCGGGCCU